Molecule: unclassified non-coding RNA, 337 nt
Filed under: soil metagenome
Description: partial contains 5.8S ribosomal RNA, internal transcribed spacer 2, and large subunit ribosomal RNA
Rfam family: 5.8S ribosomal RNA (bases 1-120)
Source: RNAcentral
GAUGAAGAACGCAGCGAAAUGCGAUAAGUAGUGUGAAUUGCAGAAUUCAGUGAAUCAUCGAAUCUUUGAACGCACAUUGCGCCCCUUGGUAUUCCAUGGGGCAUGCCUGUUCGAGCGUCAUUUACACCCUCAAGCUCUGCUUGGUGUUGGGCGUCUGUCCCGCUGCUUUGCGCGGACUCGCCUCAAAGGUAUUGGCAGCGAUCAUGCCAGCUUCUCGCGCAGCACAUUGCGCUUCUUGAAGUUCUGGUGGAUCAGCGUCCAUUAAGCUUACCUUCAUGACUUGACCUCGGAUCAGGUAGGGAUACCCGCUGAACUUAAGCAUAUCAUAAGCGGAGGA